UAGGAGUUAGUUUAAAAUAGAAUUGUUGACUGUUAAUCAAAAGGUGUUUACUCUUAA
Molecule: transfer RNA, 57 nt
Filed under: Chabertia erschowi
Lineage: Eukaryota; Metazoa; Nematoda; Chromadorea; Rhabditida; Strongylidae
Description: tRNA-Asn
Source: RNAcentral